ACUGUUGUUGUUUUGCCUUUAGCCACCCUUAUACAAUCUUGGACACACCCCUGCUUUGGAUCCUGGUGUGUAUCAGAAACAUGCAUUUCUUUCACUUCAGAAGAUGAAUACAGAUGCUGACGUUGUUUCGGCUUGGAUUAAUUGAUAGUUUUUUAAAAUAACCAUUUUUUUUGUUCACAGCACAGUUAAGCAGAUUGAGCCAAAAAACGUCCAGAAGAAAAUGGGGGGAGGAAGUUCCAGUCAGAGAGCAAUGGAACUGGAUAGAAGAGCGAUGGAACUGGAUAGAAGAGCAAUGGAACUGGAUAGAAGAGAGAUGGAACCGAAGACAAGAGCUCCUACGUGUUGUGGUUGCUGCUUCAUUCAAAUAGCAUCAGAGAAAAGAGAUGAAUCUACUAACAUAAUCAAUUCACAAGUUAGUACUGAAAACACAUCACAUACUGAAGGUAGGUUAAGUUUGACUUUCAAGUCAGGCAUUCUGUAACCUAUCAGACCCUCACACUCACCAGACUUCUGAUCACUGUAAUGUCUGUUUUGGGUUUUGUUUCAUGUUCAUGUUUUCAUGUCUUUUAUUUUGUUAUUGUUUGAUUUUGCUGUUUGUGUCAUGCUUCCCUUGCCCUCAUGUAUCUCUGCUUUGUGUAUGUGUCAUGUUCUCAUUGGUUAUUGUCUGGUCAUGUGAUUAUCAGUUGUGUUUGUUCUCAUUGGUUGCUUUAGUCAUGUGUCUUGUUCCCAUUGGUUUGCUCUUGUCAUGUGACCCUCAUUGUUUGUAUAAGUAGUCAUGUUUUUGUCAUUAGCGCUUGUCGUGUAUUAACGUUGUAACCUGCUAUCGGUAAGUCAAGUCAAGUCAAGUCAAGUCAAGUCAAGUCAAGUCAAGUCAAGUCAAGUCAAGUCAAGUCAAGUCAAGUCUUUGUUUACUGUUUGGAUUAUAUUUGGAUUUUGGAUUGUACCAUUGUGAAUAAAACUGCACUUGGGUUCAUCGCUACGCUUGCCUUCAGUGGACAGAAUACACGACCCUAAAAAUGAACCCAGCAGUUGUUCGUCUCCUGCGUCUUAGCCAAGGAAACCAGGCCAUUGAGGACUAUGUGGAGGACUUUUGUGGUUUGUGUCAUCUGGUGGAUUUUAAUGAUGUGGCCCUUAAGGACAUAUUUCGGGUGGGUCUUAAUGAGCCCAUUUGCUCUCAGCUUCCUGGGGGAAAAAUUCACUGGUCCCUGGAGGAAUAUAUUGACCAUGCUCUUUUCCUGGCUGGUUCAUCAUUUACUGUGGGGAUUGCUGAUGAGGAACACAGCUAUCCCACAGUACCCGCCACAUCAGAACUUUUCCACGUCCCAACCGUCAUGUCAGGAGUUGUUCACGUCACGCCAGCCAAGCCAAGGCCUACUCACACCAUGUCUGCCAAGCCACAGCCUGCUCACGUCAUGCCUGCCAAGCCAGCACCUGUUCACGUCAUGCCUGCUACGCCAGAGCCUACUCACAUCUUAAUAUGUUGUGUUAUUCUAUUAUAUAUAUAAUGUUAAUUACUCAAUAUGGUAUUAUCUUGUUUAAACUAUUAUGUAUGACUAUGAAAGUAAUCAAUAUACUGAUCAAUAUGCUGAAUUAUUCCCAAAUACUCUUUGGCUGUAUAAAGGCCCUCCCAUUGGGUAGUACUGCUAGUUUUCCAUUGAACUGCACCUGUUAACUGAAGUAACACUAUGACUUUGGGUGAGUUCCAGAAGUUGACAGAUUUGAUGAAUGUGUUCUGGGAUCACUGCCUACCAGUAGUAGGUGGCAAAAUGAAAGUUUUCUUAAAAAUGGUUGAUAAGGCCAAGUUUCACCAAUAAAAAAUGGACCAGCUGGGCAAGUAAUAAAUUGUGGAAAACCAGACAUAGCCAUUGGCAUAGCCAAUAAAAAAACGGAACUACCAAUUAUGGUAAGAAAGAGAGGUAGAAAUAUGGGUGCCCGGACAGACAAAAACUGUGUUCAAUAAAGUCUAAUUUUGGCAUCUGGAACUCCGUUUCUUGAGUUUUAUUUUAUGACUUUGAGAAGACCAUUGUUUGUUCCACAUCGCACCCUGGCACUAACAACACACCCCCGAAGCUGAUCAACCUUCAUCACCAGCAUUAAAGCACCCCAGUCAUUGCCUUGUUCGAUGCGACAGACCUCUUACAUCCUGUUGACCACAAUUGCUACGCCAGUUACCUUGUUCAAGUUUAUGUCAGUUAUCUUAAACCCUGCAGGUAUUCCAACCUGUCUUCCAAGUGUCCUCUGUCUCAACUUGUUUGUUUGUGUGCUCAACCGGCUCUAUAAGACAAAGACUGAAAUUUAUCCAAUUUUUUUUACUCUCACCAUUUAGCUCCACAUUUGUCAUUUACCUGUUUAUCAAUUGUGUUCCUGCUAAAACAUCUAAUAAACCAACCUGUUUAAGUUGACCUCAUUUCUGGUCAUUUCGGUCUGCGUCUGUACCUGACAGUAUGCAAUGUUUUUCUAAAACACUUUUUGUUAUAGCCUACUGGUUUAAUCUGGUUUCUCCAUCUGAUUAGAUAAAAAAAGUAUUUAGUUUAUCAUCAAAGUUUUGGAAAUAAAAUGUUUUGAAGGCCAACUUGUCAGCGGUUCAGACUUGUUAGGGUAGCAGAGAAUUAAGAUCAGUGUAAGGCUGAGAUACUUAUUCAAACAAGUGUUUGAUUAGAUAAUUUAUAUAUUAAUAUAGCUUUAAAAAAGUUGCUAUUUGUAGCUUCCAUGCAAUGAC
Molecule: long non-coding RNA, 2719 nt
Organism: Cyprinus carpio carpio
Lineage: Eukaryota; Metazoa; Chordata; Actinopteri; Cypriniformes; Cyprinidae
Source: Ensembl